RNAcentral lists this ribosomal RNA (793 nucleotides) under uncultured archaeon. RNAcentral describes it as "bacterial SSU rRNA". It matches the Rfam family "Archaeal small subunit ribosomal RNA", at positions 85 to 879 of the family's 1478-position model. The record is from RNAcentral.
ACUGCUCAGUAACACGUGGACAACCUACCCAAGAGUCCGGGAUAACCCCGGGAAACUGGGGAUAAUACCGGAUAGAUCAAACUUGCUGGAAGGCUGUUUGGUUGAAACUUCCGGGGCUUUUGGAUGGGUCUGCGGCUGAUUAGGUUGUUGCCGGUGUAACGUACUGUCAAGCCUGUAAUCAGUACGGGUUGUGGGAGCAAGAGCCCGGAGAUGGAUUCUGAGACACGAAUCCAGGCCCUACGGGGCGCAGCAGGCGCGAAAACUCUACAAUGCAGGCAACUGCGAUAGGGGAACAUCGAGUGAUCCUCAUAUUGGGGGUCUGUCCACCCGUCUAAAAAACGGGUGUUAGCAAGGGCCGGGCAAGACCGGUGCCAGCCGCCGCGGUAAUACCGGCGGCUCGAGUGGUGGCCGAUAUUAUUGAGUCUAAAGGGUCCGUAGCCGGCUUUGCAAGUCUCUCGGGAAAUCCAGCGGCUUAACCGUUGGUCGUCCGGGGGGUACUACAUUGCUUGGGACUGGGAGAGGUAGGAGGUACUCAGGGGGUAGGAGUGAAAUCCUGUAAUCCUCUGGGGACCACCGGUGGCGAAGGCGUCCUACCAGAACAGGUCCGACGGUGAGGGACGAAAGCUAGGGGCACGAACCGGAUUAGAUACCCGGGUAGUCCUAGCCGUAAACGAUGCUCGCUAGGUGUCACAACAGUCGUGAACUGUUGUGGUGCCGUAGGGAAGCCGUGAAGCGAGCCACUUGGGAAGUACGACCGCAAGGUUGAAACUUAAAGGAAUUGGCGGGGGAGCAC